GCGGGGGACAUUACUGA
This 17-nucleotide ribosomal RNA is filed under the name Colletotrichum truncatum. RNAcentral's name for it is "partial 18S ribosomal RNA". The record is from RNAcentral. Lineage: Eukaryota; Fungi; Ascomycota; Sordariomycetes; Glomerellales; Glomerellaceae.